RNAcentral lists this long non-coding RNA (774 nucleotides) under Sinocyclocheilus grahami. Its description in RNAcentral is "lncRNA (ENSSGRG00000015020.1)". The record is from RNAcentral. Lineage: Eukaryota; Metazoa; Chordata; Actinopteri; Cypriniformes; Cyprinidae.
CAGCUCCGUUCCUCCGUGCGCGAGUAACCGGGCAGGAGGAGGCGAGCGCGAUCAGACCUCCAGGUGUGUGUAGAUGUACGUGUGUGUUCCAGCCACACCUGGAUGCAUCAUGUGAUCAGAUACCUGGGCGUGGAGCUAGCGUUCAGUGUGUUAGUCGGUAACGGGAAUCUCGGAACCGCAGAUCUCUUGUCGCUCCGCGCGUGAGUGACAUGUGAACUUUCCGUGCACCGGGAAUCUAUUCCUCUCAGUCUAAAGGGACUCCGUGGUCUGGACGCUGCAACCGCCGCCAAGCCCCGACACGAAGUCCAGGCCCUCCAGUAUCCCAUCACCCCCUGCGACUAUCCAAGCUGUUACGGCAGGCUGGGCCGCGAGUGCCUGUGCCAGGGCGCGGCAGGACCGGAUCCGACCGGUGGGCGACUGGCUCCUCCUCCUCCUCCAAGCUGCCGUGUGUGCUAAGCGCCUUGCCGUUAGCCGGAAGGAUGCUUCAGUGAGGACAGAUAUCUUGAGACUAAACGAUAGGAAGACAAGACAAGAGAACAGGGCCAGAAGACAACACAUGCUGGAUGCAAAUUCACCUCCACCUGAGCUCUGUAUUAAUGCGCCAAGUUGCAUCAACCCUUUACAACACCGCAAACAACCUGCAGGUAAACUAUGAGCUAGCCUAUACUUUCAGUUUUUUCCAAGAAUUAUCAUUGCCCAUCGUGAUUUAGGCUAUUGUUCCUAAUUUCAUUUUUUAGUGAACAUUUUUGUCUUUCUAUCUUUAUAAAUGUAGUA